Molecule: long non-coding RNA, 376 nt
Organism: Oreochromis aureus
Lineage: Eukaryota; Metazoa; Chordata; Actinopteri; Cichliformes; Cichlidae
Source: Ensembl
GGGAAAGGCUCAGCGUAUGGCUUUCUCAGUAAACGGUACAAUCAUGUGUCGCAGUUGAAGAAGCAGAACUACACUGAAGACAAUCGAACACAAGGGAUCAUGGAAAAAAGUCACUGGGACCUGAAAAGGAUUCGCUUUGAACGAAGGCGUCUCGCUAGCCUAGAUGACUUUGUGCAGAUAUAUCAGAGGAAACAUGAUGCUCUUCUCCGAGAAUAUGGCCAUGUAGGCAAAAAAAGGAGGAAGUCUUACCGAGUGGAGACCGAGAAGUGGAAGAAAAGAAGUAGAAAACGAAAAGGCUUCUAUGUAACUGCUCUGAUGGGAAAACGAGUCAAACAGGAUCAUCAAGAAGAACCACCACACUCAGAUGUGCCCACAG